AUUGGGAAAUCGGGAAAUCGAGAAAUUUGGAAAUCGGGAAAUCGAGAAAGUAAAAACGCGAAAUCGAGAAAUUCAUUUCCCGUUUUCGCGUUUUUGCUUUCGUGUUUUCGCGUUUUUGCUUUCUCGAUUUCUCGAUUUCCCGAUUUCCCUAUUUCUCGAUUUCCUUAUU
Molecule: small RNA, 169 nt
Filed under: Mytilus galloprovincialis (Mediterranean mussel)
Lineage: Eukaryota; Metazoa; Mollusca; Bivalvia; Mytilida; Mytilidae
Source: RNAcentral